UACGGGAGGCAGCAGUAGGGAAUCUUCCGCAAUGGGCGAAAGCCUGACGGAGCAACGCCGCGUGAGUGAUGAAGGUCUUCGGAUCGUAAAACUCUGUUAUUAGGGAAGAACAUAUGUGUAAGUAACUGUGCACAUCUUGACGGUACCUAAUCAGAAAGCCACGGCUAACUACGUGCCAGCAGCCGCGGUAAUACGUAGGUGGCAAGCGUUAUCCGGAAUUAUUGGGCGUAAAGCGCGCGUAGGCGGUUUUUUAAGUCUGAUGUGAAAGCCCACGGCUCAACCGUGGAGGGUCAUUGGAAACUGGAAAACUUGAGUGCAGAAGAGGAAAGUGGAAUUCCAUGUGUAGCGGUGAAAUGCGCAGAGAUAUGGAGGAACACCAGUGGCGAAGGCGACUUUCUGGUCUGUAACUGACGCUGAUGUGCGAAAGCGUGGGGAUCAAACAGGAUUAGAUACCCUGGUAGUCCACGCCGUAAACGAUGAGUGCUAAGUGUUAGGGGGUUUCCGCCCCUUAGUGCUGCAGCUAACGCAUUAAGCACUCCGCCUGGG
Molecule: ribosomal RNA, 546 nt
Filed under: uncultured bacterium
Lineage: Bacteria
Description: bacterial SSU rRNA
Rfam family: Bacterial small subunit ribosomal RNA
Source: RNAcentral